This 3927-nucleotide ribosomal RNA is filed under the name Drosophila melanogaster (fruit fly). RNAcentral describes it as "eukaryotic LSU rRNA". The stretch from base 576 to 3927 matches the Rfam family "Eukaryotic large subunit ribosomal RNA". The record is from RNAcentral. Lineage: Eukaryota; Metazoa; Arthropoda; Insecta; Diptera; Drosophilidae.
AAAACUCUAAGCGGUGGAUCACUCGGCUCAUGGGUCGAUGAAGAACGCAGCAAACUGUGCGUCAUCGUGUGAACUGCAGGACACAUGAACAUCGACAUUUUGAACGCAUAUCGCAGUCCAUGCUGUUAUGUACUUUAAUUAAUUUUAUAGUGCUGCUUGGACUACAUAUGGUUGAGGGUUGUAAGACUAUGCUAAUUAAGUUGCUUAUAAAUUUUUAUAAGCAUAUGGUAUAUUAUUGGAUAAAUAUAAUAAUUUUUAUUCAUAAUAUUAAAAAAUAAAUGAAAAACAUUAUCUCACAUUUGAAUGUGAAAAACGAAGAGAAAUAUUUUCUUUUUCAAUCAAAUAAUACUGAGAAAUGUCUAGCAUAAAAAAUUGAAAUAUUUUUCAUCUAGAAUUGUCUCUUAUUAAUGAUUCGGAAAUAGAAAAAUCUUGGUUAUGUUAUUAUUCUUCGUUGGUUCGUUAAAAAUGGAUAAAUAAAAACUUUGCAUACAAGAAUUAAUAAAAAUGUUAUAACGAAUUUAAUUAAAUGUUUUAUCAUUAUAUAUAAAGAAUUUAUGGCAAGAUAAAGUUAUAUACAACCUCAACUCAUAUGGGACUACCCCCUGAAUUUAAGCAUAUUAAUUAGGGGAGGAAAAGAAACUAACAAGGAUUUUCUUAGUAGCGGCGAGCGAAAAGAAAACAGUUCAGCACUAAGUCACUUUGUCUAUAUGGCAAAUGUGAGAUGCAGUGUAUGGAGCGUCAAUAUUCUAGUAUGAGAAAUUAACGAUUUAAGUCCUUCUUAAAUGAGGCCAUUUACCCAUAGAGGGUGCCAGGCCCGUAUAACGUUAAUGAUUACUAGAUGAUGUUUCCAAAGAGUCGUGUUGCUUGAUAGUGCAGCACUAAGUGGGUGGUAAACUCCAUCUAAAACUAAAUAUAACCAUGAGACCGAUAGUAAACAAGUACCGUGAGGGAAAGUUGAAAAGAACUCUGAAUAGAGAGUUAAACAGUACGUGAAACUGCUUAGAGGUUAAGCCCGAUGAACCUGAAUAUCCGUUAUGGAAAAUUCAUCAUUAAAAUUGUAAUAUUUAAAUAAUAUUAUGAGAAUAGUGUGCAUUUUUUCCAUAUAAGGACAUUGUAAUCUAUUAGCAUAUACCAAAUUUAUCAUAAAAUAUAACUUAUAGUUUAUUCCAAUUAAAUUGCUUGCAUUUUAACACAGAAUAAAUGUUAUUAAUUUGAUAAAGUGCUGAUAGAUUUAUAUGAUUACAGUGCGUUAAUUUUUCGGAAUUAUAUAAUGGCAUAAUUAUCAUUGAUUUUUGUGUUUAUUAUAUGCACUUGUAUGAUUAACAAUGCGAAAGAUUCAGGAUACCUUCGGGACCCGUCUUGAAACACGGACCAAGGAGUCUAACAUAUGUGCAAGUUAUUGGGAUAUAAACCUAAUAGCGUAAUUAACUUGACUAAUAAUGGGAUUAGUUUUUUAGCUAUUUAUAGCUAAUUAACACAAUCCCGGGGCGUUCUAUAUAGUUAUGUAUAAUGUAUAUUUAUAUUAUUUAUGCCUCUAACUGGAACGUACCUUGAGCAUAUAUGCUGUGACCCGAAAGAUGGUGAACUAUACUUGAUCAGGUUGAAGUCAGGGGAAACCCUGAUGGAAGACCGAAACAGUUCUGACGUGCAAAUCGAUUGUCAGAAUUGAGUAUAGGGGCGAAAGACCAAUCGAACCAUCUAGUAGCUGGUUCCUUCCGAAGUUUCCCUCAGGAUAGCUGGUGCAUUUUAAUAUUAUAUAAAAUAAUCUUAUCUGGUAAAGCGAAUGAUUAGAGGCCUUAGGGUCGAAACGAUCUUAACCUAUUCUCAAACUUUAAAUGGGUAAGAACCUUAACUUUCUUGAUAUGAAGUUCAAGGUUAUGAUAUAAUGUGCCCAGUGGGCCACUUUUGGUAAGCAGAACUGGCGCUGUGGGAUGAACCAAACGUAAUGUUACGGUGCCCAAAUUAACAACUCAUGCAGAUACCAUGAAAGGCGUUGGUUGCUUAAAACAGCAGGACGGUGAUCAUGGAAGUCGAAAUCCGCUAAGGAGUGUGUAACAACUCACCUGCCGAAGCAACUAGCCCUUAAAAUGGAUGGCGCUUAAGUUGUAUACCUAUACAUUACCGCUAAAGUAGAUGAUUUAUAUUACUUGUGAUAUAAAUUUUGAAACUUUAGUGAGUAGGAAGGUACAAUGGUAUGCGUAGAAGUGUUUGGCGUAAGCCUGCAUGGAGCUGCCAUUGGUACAGAUCUUGGUGGUAGUAGCAAAUAAUCGAAUGAGACCUUGGAGGACUGAAGUGGAGAAGGGUUUCGUGUGAACAGUGGUUGAUCACGAGUUAGUCGGUCCUAAGUUCAAGGCGAAAGCCGAAAAUUUUCAAGUAAAACAAAAAUGCCUAACUAUAUAAACAAAGCGAAUUAUAAUACACUUGAAUAAUUUUGAACGAAAGGGAAUACGGUUCCAAUUCCGUAACCUGUUGAGUAUCCGUUUGUUAUUAAAUAUGGGCCUCGUGCUCAUCCUGGCAACAGGAACGACCAUAAAGAAGCCGUCGAGAGAUAUCGGAAGAGUUUUCUUUUCUGUUUUAUAGCCGUACUACCAUGGAAGUCUUUCGCAGAGAGAUAUGGUAGAUGGGCUAGAAGAGCAUGACAUAUACUGUUGUGUCGAUAUUUUCUCCUCGGACCUUGAAAAUUUAUGGUGGGGACACGCAAACUUCUCAACAGGCCGUACCAAUAUCCGCAGCUGGUCUCCAAGGUGAAGAGUCUCUAGUCGAUAGAAUAAUGUAGGUAAGGGAAGUCGGCAAAUUAGAUCCGUAACUUCGGGAUAAGGAUUGGCUCUGAAGAUUGAGAUAGUCGGGCUUGAUUGGGAAACAAUAACAUGGUUUAUGUGCUCGUUCUGGGUAAAUAGAGUUUCUAGCAUUUAUGUUAGUUACUUGUUCCCCGGAUAGUUUAGUUACGUAGCCAAUUGUGGAACUUUCUUGCUAAAAUUUUUAAGAAUACUAUUUGGGUUAAACCAAUUAGUUCUUAUUAAUUAUAACGAUUAUCAAUUAACAAUCAAUUCAGAACUGGCACGGACUUGGGGAAUCCGACUGUCUAAUUAAAACAAAGCAUUGUGAUGGCCCUAGCGGGUGUUGACACAAUGUGAUUUCUGCCCAGUGCUCUGAAUGUCAAAGUGAAGAAAUUCAAGUAAGCCUUUGUCUCCUAUUCUAUUUAACUUGUAAUGGACAGGUUACUUAGAACCUUACCCAGCGAAAUUGGUGCCAAAGUCGGAAAUGCCAUUACUAACGCGGCCGCGUUUGCAGAUGAUUUGGUACUAUUUGCGGAAACUCGGAUGGGGCUUCAAGUAUUGUUGGACAAGACGUUGGAUUUUCUAUCUAUCGUCGGCCUCAAACUUAAUGCCGACAAAUGUUUUACCGUGGCAUUAAGGGCCACCGAAACAGAAGUGUACCGUGUUAGAGGCACAGAGCUUCUACGUAGGCUCGAGUGAGAUUCCAUCACUGAAGCGCACGGACGAGUGGAAGUACUUAGGCAUCAACUUCACUGCAACCGGAGGGUUCGAUGCAAUCCGGCCGAGGACAUUGGUCCAAAGCUACAAAGAUUGACAAAGGCCCCCUCAAACCACAACAGAGGUUGUUCGCCCUUCGGACUGUCCUUAUCCCACAGCUCUACCACAAGUUAGCCCUUGGGAGUGUGGCGAUAGGCGUCCUAAGAAAAACUGAUAAACUUAUAAGAUAUUAUGUGCGAAGAUGGCUAAAUCUUCCGCUGGAUGUGCCGAUAGCAUUUGUUCAUGCACCCCCAAAAAGUGGAGGUCUCGGAAUUCCAUCACUAAGAUGGGUAGCUCCAAUGUUAAGGCUAAGACGCUUGAGUAACAUUAAAUGGCCUCACCUCACGCAAAACGAGGUAGCCAGCUCUUUCCUCGAAGCCGAAAAACAACGGGC